This 324-nucleotide long non-coding RNA is filed under the name Capsicum annuum. Its description in RNAcentral is "long non-coding RNA (CANN_LNC021728)". Lineage: Eukaryota; Viridiplantae; Streptophyta; Magnoliopsida; Solanales; Solanaceae. The record is from RNAcentral.
CCCAAAAAUCUCUUCCUUAAUUAGUUGAAGCCUGCCUGCAUAACUUAGCAAUCUUGCAAACCAAAAAGUGAUUUUAGAUGUUAUCUUCUCAACCAAUAGCCAGCAUUGUGCUAUGGAUAUCUUACUAGUAGCAAAAGGUAUACCCAAGUACCUGAAUGGGAAGGUUCCAGCAGUAUAACCUAUUUCCUCAAGUAUUUUAUUCUCCAUCCUCUCCUAUAUGCCAGCCAAAUAUAGCUAACUUUUAUCAAUAUUCACUUGCAGUCCUAGAACUUGAGAAAAUUUCUUGAACGUCUGAUUAAGGAGUCUAAUAAACCCUAUCUCAGC